CGCUGGCGGCGUGCCUAAUACAUGCAAAGUCGAACGGUCUUUCUAUGGAAGCUGCUUCCACUGAGAAGAUAGUGGCGAACGGGUGAGUAACACGUGGGUAACCUGCCCAUAAGAGGGGGGAGUAACAUCCGGAAACGGGUGCUAAUACCGCAUAGUUUUCUUGAUCGCAUGAUCGGGAAAGGAAAGACGGCCUUCGUGCUGUCGCUUAUGGAUGGACCCGCGGCGUAUUAGUUAGUUGGUGAGGUAACGGCUCACCAAGACGAUGAUACGUAGCCGACCUGAGAGGGUGAUCGGCCACAUUGGGACUGAGACACGGCCCAAACUCCUACGGGAGGCAGCAGUAGGGAAUCUUCCGCAAUGGACGAAAGUCUGACGGAGCAACGCCGCGUGAGUGAAGAAAGGUUUUCGGAUCGUAAAACUCUGUUGUCAGAGAAGAACAAGUUGGAGAGUAACUGCUCCAGCCUUGACGGUAUCUGACCAGAAAGCCACGGCUAACUACGUGCCAGCAGCGGC
Molecule: ribosomal RNA, 513 nt
Filed under: uncultured bacterium
Lineage: Bacteria
Description: bacterial SSU rRNA
Rfam family: Bacterial small subunit ribosomal RNA
Source: RNAcentral